RNAcentral lists this long non-coding RNA (518 nucleotides) under Homo sapiens (human). RNAcentral's name for it is "non-protein coding lnc-LRRTM2-3:1". The record is from RNAcentral. Lineage: Eukaryota; Metazoa; Chordata; Mammalia; Primates; Hominidae.
GCUGAAGUUUGACCCCAGCGACAUCAAAGUUGUAUGCCUGGCCGGGCGUGGUGGAGUUGUAUACCUGAGAUGCACGGAGGGUGAAAUGGGCGCCAUGUCUGUGUGGCCCCCAAGAUUGGCCCCCUGGGUCUGUCUCCGAAAAAGGUUGGUGAUGACAUUGCCAAGGCAGCCGGUGACUGGAGGGGUCUGAGGAUUACAGUGAAACUGGCCAUUCAGAACAGACAGGCCCUGAUUGAGGCAGUGCCUUCUGCCUCUGCCCUGAUCGUCAAAGCCCUCAAGGAACUGCCAAGGGACAGAAAGAAAUGGAAAAACAUCAAACACAGUGGAAAUAUCACUUGUGAUGAGAUUGUCAACAUUACUUGACAGAUGCGGCACCAAUCUUUAGCCAGAGAACUCUCUAGAACCAUUAAAGAGAUCCUGGGGACUGCUCAGUUUGUGGGCUGCAGUGUUGAUGGCCGUCACCUCAUGACAUCAUAGAUGACAUCAACAGUGGUGCAGUGGAAUGCCCAGCUAGUUAA